RNAcentral lists this microRNA precursor (68 nucleotides) under Bombyx mori (domestic silkworm). RNAcentral's name for it is "mir-2774 microRNA precursor family". It matches the Rfam family "mir-2774 microRNA precursor family". Lineage: Eukaryota; Metazoa; Arthropoda; Insecta; Lepidoptera; Bombycidae. The record is from Rfam by way of RNAcentral.
ACUGUAAUUGGACCGUCGGUCUACUGAGCAAUUACACUCGCUCCGAUGGAAGGUAUUCCGUUUGUCAU